GACGAACGCUGGCGGCGUGCUUAACACAUGCAAGUCGAACGGAAAGGCCCUGCUUUUGUGGGGUGCUCGAGUGGCGAACGGGUGCGUAACACGUGAGUAACCUGCCCUUGACUUUGGGAUAACUUCAGGAAACUGGGGCUAAUCCCGGAUAGCAGCUCCUGCUGCAUGGUGGGGGUUGGAAAGUUUCGGCGGUUGGGGAUGGACUCGCGGCUUAUCAGCUUGUUGGUGGGGUAGUGGCUUACCAAGGCUGUGAAGGGUAGCCGGCCUGAGAGGGUGACCGGCGACAUUGGGACUGAGAUACGGCCCAGACUCCUACGGGAGGCAGCAGUGGGGAAUAUUGCACAAUGGGCGGAAGCCUGAUGCAGCAACGCCGCGUGCGGGAUGACGGCCUUCGGGGUGUAAACCGCUUUCGCCUGUUACGAAGCGGGAGUGACGGUAAUGGGUAAAGAAGCACCGGCUAACUACGUG
This 468-nucleotide ribosomal RNA is filed under the name uncultured bacterium. RNAcentral's name for it is "partial 16S ribosomal RNA". It matches the Rfam family "Bacterial small subunit ribosomal RNA", at positions 28 to 507 of the family's 1533-position model. The record is from RNAcentral.